GAUGAAGAACGUAGCGAAAUGCGAUAAGUAAUGUGAAUUGCAGAAUUCAGUGAAUCAUCGAAUCUUUGAACGCACAUUGCGCCCGCCAGUAUUCUGGCGGGCAUGCCUGUUCGAGCGUCAUUACAACCCUCAGGCCCCCGGGCCUGGCGUUGGGGAUCGGCGGAGCCCCCCGUGGGCACACGCCGUCCCCCAAAUGCAGUGGCGGUCCCGCCGCAGCUUCCAUCGCGUAGUAGCUAACACCUCGCGACUGGAGAGCGGCGCGGCCACGCCGUAAACACCCAACUCUUCUGAAGUUGACCUCGAAUCAGGUAGGAAUACCCGCUGAACUUAAGCAUAUCAAUAAGCGGAGGA
RNAcentral lists this unclassified non-coding RNA (351 nucleotides) under soil metagenome. RNAcentral's name for it is "partial contains 5.8S ribosomal RNA, internal transcribed spacer 2, and large subunit ribosomal RNA". The stretch from base 1 to 120 matches the Rfam family "5.8S ribosomal RNA", at positions 35 to 154 of the family's 154-position model. The record is from RNAcentral.